RNAcentral lists this ribosomal RNA (342 nucleotides) under uncultured bacterium. RNAcentral's name for it is "bacterial SSU rRNA". It matches the Rfam family "Bacterial small subunit ribosomal RNA", at positions 8 to 334 of the family's 1533-position model. The record is from RNAcentral.
AGGGUUUGAUUCUGGCUCAGGAUAAACGCUGGCGGCGUGCGUAACACAUGCAAGUCGAACGAGAAUGUACUGACGGAUCCUUAGGGUGAAGAUAGUACAGGACAGUGGCGGAUGGGUGAGUAACGCGUAAGAAACCUGCCUUUCACACCGGGAUAGCAGCUGGAAACGGCUAUUAAUACCGGAUGACACUUUUUCCCCGCAUGAGGAAGAGGUUAAAGAAUUUCGGUGAAAGAUGGUCUUGCGUCUGAUUAGCUAGUUGGUGGGGUAACGGCCUACCAAGGCGACGAUCAGUAGCCGGCCUGAGAGGGUGUACGGCCACAUUGGGACUGAGACACGGCCCAA